Long non-coding RNA from Trifolium pratense (red clover), 849 nucleotides. RefSeq lists it as uncharacterized. The transcript is spliced from 4 exons. The record is from RefSeq and is a predicted model, not a curated record. Lineage: Eukaryota; Viridiplantae; Streptophyta; Magnoliopsida; Fabales; Fabaceae.
CAAAGAUCCCUUCUUCCUUCUUCUUCAUCAUUCACUCUUCAAAAAAUAUCUCAACCCUUUAUUCUUUCUUCAUUCAUCAAUUUCUUCUUCAAAAUCCUCAACAAUGUUCUUCUACAACUUUUUCUCCCGUUUCUCAACAACCAUUUCCCGAACCUCACUUCUCUCUGCUCCGCGAAUCCCCCAACAACAAUUCCAUAACUUCUCCAAUCAAUUUCAUUCGCUACUCAUUGCCUAAUCUACAAACAAGUGUUUGUGCAGCUGCAGGGAUGCUGAAAUUUUUUGAUGGAUGCCUAAAGUGAUAGAUUUGAUGCCACCUCAAGUGAGUAAUGGUAUUUGCUGAGUUAUAAGGAAUAGCUUUCACAAGGCACUGGAUCAAAAUGAUAUCUUAAUUUUCCCUGCAGCUCCUUCAGCUGCUUAUAUCAUCGAUUUCUGUCUCAUACCUCUGAUUAUAUAUUAACAAGACAAAUAGAGUUUGGUUCGUGUUUUGAUUACUGCUAUUGAACUUCAUCAAUAUGAUGCAUUCGUCAUCAUCUUGUCACGAAGCUAAGUCAUGGAGUUAGUAAUGGGCAAGGACCUAGUAUUAGAUGGUCAUGGGCAUGGAACUCAUCAUGGAGAUGCAUAGUCUUAAUUAUAGUGUUUAUCAAUGAAGAAUGUAUACUUAGAUAUUUAAUUUUGAUGGCUUGAGUUAAGAUUCAAUAGCAUACUGGCAAGUCAUAUGCACAAUUAGGAAUCCACAACUUGUGUUGUCAUGUUGAGCUUUUGCUUUAUGUGAAGGUUCUGGUGAUCAUUUUGAUAUGAAAGUGAUGUAUAAACUUCUAUUUGAAAAUACUUGUGUUAUUUUAUUUUAAA